AUUGAACGCUGGCGGCAGGCCUAACACAUGCAAGUCGAACGGUAACAGGAAACAGCUUGCUGUUUCGCUGACGAGUGGCGGACGGGUGAGUAAUGUCUGGGAAACUGCCUGAUGGAGGGGGAUAACUACUGGAAACGGUAGCUAAUACCGCAUAACGUCGCAAGACCAAAGAGGGGGACCUUCGGGCCUCUUGCCAUCGGAUGUGCCCAGAUGGGAUUAGCUAGUAGGUGGGGUAACGGCUCACCUAGGCGACGAUCCCUAGCUGGUCUGAGAGGAUGACCAGCCACACUGGAACUGAGACACGGUCCAGACUCCUACGGGAGGCAGCAGUGGGGAAUAUUGCACAAUGGGCGCAAGCCUGAUGCAGCCAUGCCGCGUGUAUGAAGAAGGCCUUCGGGUUGUAAAGUACUUUCAGCGGGGAGGAAGGGAGUAAAGUUAAUACCUUUGCUCAUUGACGUUACCCGCAGAAUAAGCACCGGCUAACUCUGUGCCAGCAGCCGCCGUAA
This 506-nucleotide ribosomal RNA is filed under the name uncultured bacterium. RNAcentral describes it as "partial 16S ribosomal RNA". It matches the Rfam family "Bacterial small subunit ribosomal RNA", at positions 30 to 523 of the family's 1533-position model. The record is from RNAcentral.